GCGAUGCGCCAGACGCUGAAACUUGCGAUCGGGCCGAAAGGUCCGGCCCGGCGCCUGCGCGACCC
RNAcentral lists this small RNA (65 nucleotides) under Sinorhizobium meliloti 2011. Its description in RNAcentral is "putative ncRNA". The record is from RNAcentral. Lineage: Bacteria; Pseudomonadati; Pseudomonadota; Alphaproteobacteria; Hyphomicrobiales; Rhizobiaceae.